GCCUCUUACUUCUUAAGAGCUACACACCACUCCAUGAAUAUUCUACAGUAUGCUUGAAUCAUGCUCUACCAGUGAACCAUUUCUAUCUAAAUUUUUGCCUUUACAGGUUGCAGUGAACAUCUAAGAUGAAUACCUGGAAGCAGAAUUGCUAGUGCAAAGGGAAACCAGGUUCUGCAGAGCCCCUGGCCAGGGUGCCCCAACUGCUCGUGCGGCUUUCCACUAAGGAGGCUCCACAGUGAGCUUCCCUAUGGGAGGAGGACAGAGCAAGCCAAACUUGGAUGGAGCUUCUCAUGGAAUCUCCUCUAUUAUCACAGAGGAGUUUGAAAAUACCUGGAUUCAAAUGUUCCCUUCGUCACUUCACCACUGUGUCAUCUUGGACGUACCAGUCAACUUCUCAGUCUUAGGUGCCAACUGUUUGGUAGGGCUUGUGUAGCCCUGUACAAGCUGGUCCCUCUGUGUCCCUCAGCUGUCUGGUCCCUACCUUGCUGCCAACACUCCAGCUACACUGAACCUCUUUCAGUCAUUUGGAUAUCCCUGCUUGGACAGUACCCAUCACCUUAAAGUUAUAGCAUCUUCCCUGCUCCCUCUAAGACUUUCUUGCCCUUUGUGUUCCAGCCUGCACAC
RNAcentral lists this long non-coding RNA (624 nucleotides) under Chinchilla lanigera (long-tailed chinchilla). RNAcentral describes it as "lncRNA (ENSCLAG00000027585.1)". The record is from RNAcentral. Lineage: Eukaryota; Metazoa; Chordata; Mammalia; Rodentia; Chinchillidae.